UCGAGAAUCUUCGGCAAUGGACGCAAGUCUGACCGAGCGACGCCGCGUGCGGGAUGAAGGCCUUCGGGUUGUAAACCGCUGUCAGAGGGGAUGAAAUGUACGGGGGUACUCCCCUGUACUUGACAGAGCCUCAGAGGAAGCACGGGCUAAGUUCGUGCCAGCAGCCGCGGUAAUACGAACUGUGCGAACGUUAUUCGGAAUCACUGGGCUUAAAGGGUGCGUAGGCGGUUAUCUAAGUCAGGUGUGAAAU
RNAcentral lists this ribosomal RNA (250 nucleotides) under uncultured bacterium. RNAcentral's name for it is "partial 16S ribosomal RNA". It matches the Rfam family "Bacterial small subunit ribosomal RNA", at positions 355 to 600 of the family's 1533-position model. The record is from RNAcentral.